This 707-nucleotide ribosomal RNA is filed under the name uncultured bacterium. Its description in RNAcentral is "bacterial SSU rRNA". It matches the Rfam family "Bacterial small subunit ribosomal RNA", at positions 62 to 746 of the family's 1533-position model. The record is from RNAcentral.
UCGACGCUUCUUUUUCACCGGAGCUUGCUCCCCGGAAAAAGAGGAGUGGCGAACGGGUGAGUAACACGUGGGUAACCUGCCCAUCAGAAGGGGAUAACACUUGGAAACAGGUGCUAAUACCGUAUAACAAUCAAAACCGCAUGGUUUUGAUUUGAAAGGCGCUUUCGGGCGUCGCUGAUGGAUGGACCCGCGGUGCAUUAGCUAGUUGGUGAGGUAACGGCUCACCAAGGCCACGAUGCAUAGCCGACCUGAGAGGGUGAUCGGCCACAUUGGGACUGAGACACGGCCCAAACUCCUACGGGAGGCAGCAGUAGGGAAUCUUCGGCAAUGGACGAAAGUCUGACCGAGCAACGCCGCGUGAGUGAAGAAGGUUUUCGGAUCGUAAAACUCUGUUGUUAGAGAAGAACAAGGAUGAGAGUAACUGUUCAUCCCUUGACGGUAUCUAACCAGAAAGCCACGGCUAACUACGUGCCAGCAGCCGCGGUAAUACGUAGGUGGCAAGCGUUGUCCGGAUUUAUUGGGCGUAAAGCGAGCGCAGGCGGUUUCUUAAGUCUGAUGUGAAAGCCCCCGGCUCAACCGGGGAGGGUCAUUGGAAACUGGGAGACUUGAGUGCAGAAGAGGAGAGUGGAAUUCCAUGUGUAGCGGUGAAAUGCGUAGAUAUAUGGAGGAACCCAGUGGCGAGGCGGCUCUCUGGUCUGUACUGACGC